This 455-nucleotide ribosomal RNA is filed under the name uncultured bacterium. Its description in RNAcentral is "bacterial SSU rRNA". It matches the Rfam family "Bacterial small subunit ribosomal RNA", at positions 340 to 786 of the family's 1533-position model. The record is from RNAcentral.
UACGGGAGGCAGCAGUGGGGAAUAUUGCACAAUGGGCGCAAGCCUGAUGCAGCCAUGCCGCGUGUAUGAAGAAGGCCUUCGGGUUGUAAAGUACUUUCAGUCGUGAGGAAGGUGUUAAGGUUAAUAACCUUAGCAAUUGACGUUAGCGACAGAAGAAGCACCGGCUAACUCCGUGCCAGCAGCCGCGGUAAUACGGAGGGUGCGAGCGUUAAUCGGAAUUACUGGGCGUAAAGGGCACGCAGGCGGUUAAUUAAGUUGGAUGUGAAAUCCCCGGGCUUAACCUGGGAAUGGCAUUCAAGACUGGUUAGCUAGAGUCUUGUAGAGGGGGUAGAAUUCCAUGUGUAGCGGUGAAAUGCGUAGAGAUGUGGAGGAAUACGGUGGCGAAGGCGGCCCCUGGACAAAGACUGACGCUCAUGUGCGAAAGCGGUGGGGAGACAAACGAGGGAUUAGAUACC